GGCACCUCCCGGCGGGCCAUGCAGUCGCGGGGCAGCCUGGGACUGGUAGUCUCGGCCCGGGGUCGCAACGGCUCCGGCGCUGGACGUACAUUGAUCGUUUUGCCCUUCUAGAAACCAAGGGUCCUCUCCCCAGAUCUCCAGUUCUGAAAUGAAGAUCUCGACUGAGAAGUCGCUAUUGAGUCAAUAGAAAACUGAUUUGCAAAGGAGGAAAGAAGGUGGCUUGCUGUGGAGCGUCCGGUCGGCUCUGAAGAACUCUGCUCAGGGGAAGGGUCUAUCUCAUUCGCAGAUUGCUCAUCUGCUCUCUUUUUGGUCGGCACAGUAGCAGAGCCCUCCUCCACUAUUCCUGAGCCAACCUAAACCUGCCCUGGUACUGACGGCAAAGUGAGUCAUGAGUUUUCAUCCUGUCCUUUGUCAAGUAACACAUCAGAGACCUGCUGGCAGAGCUGGGAGUUCAAGUACUUCAGGACUGUGGAAUGAUCUGAGGCUGUGCAUAAAAUAUUCCUGUUUCUCAGUACUCAAAGUAGUGAGAAAACAUCUCACCAGUUUCCCAGGUCAGGAUGAACUACAGUGAAGGCUGACUGGAGAGCCUUGAAGUUACUAGAAUGUAUCUCCCGACUCAGAAGUGUUCCAUCUCCUGCCAAUACUCCACAGAAGCUUCCUGGUCAGAUUCCCAAACCACACACAGCCCUUCAGUGUGACCUGGAGAGUAGUCAUUCUGCCAAAGCCCUGGAAGGCUUGCAGGGACAGACAACUGCCCAGGGAGAGACGUCUCCAAACCACAACAUCCACCAAAAAGCUGGUCACUCCUAUCUCGUAAUCAAGCUCACACUGACUCCCCUGCACUUGGAAACUACUUCCUUUAACUGAGAAGGGACAACACCGGCAACAUCCCCACCAUCCAUAAAGAGGCACUGGUCCUCCUGGGUCCAGACGUCCCUUCAUAGCAGCAUCUCCCUAAGUGUCCAGGAGACAGCCCAAGCAAGGGAGGUGGUGAAGGGGAGCAGCCAAAUCGGGACUUCUGCCAGAGCCCCUACAGGAAGGGGGCCGUCAAGGGCUAAUCUAUAAUACUGCAUCAUGACCAAGAACAGUCAGCAGGAACGGACCAAGAGGUGCUCAGGAGCCAUUUGCCUCGGCCCAACAGAGUUGCACUGAACUGUAUCUCAGAAAUAAAAUGGUAAAGUCCCCUGAAAAGGGAACACUUCAUUAAAAAAAUAAUAAUACAGAAAAACCAGCAAAUGAAUGCCGAUUUGUUUUCUGCUCUUGUUCAACUGUAGUGGAAACGACUCUAAGAGCACAGCAAGAGACUACUGUUCCCACCCCUCAGCCUUGUGCAUCCAGAUGCCCACCCAUCUCCUCCUCCCCCUUGGUACCCUGCUUCCCACUGCUGUCAGUUAGGGCCCCCCUUCUGCUUAGCCAGGGUACACUUCAGCUCCCGAAGGUUCUCUGUCAGCACUUCAACCUCGUCCAUUCGACCACACUGCUUGGCAUCAAAGAUGUAAGCCUUGAUGUUGUCGAUCUGCUGCAGGAGCAGCUCCUCCUCGAUGUGCUCCUCAGCCUCUGUGCCACUGUCACUGUCCACCUCGAAGGGGUUGGUGCAUGGGCCCUCCUCAAAAGGGUUUCCAGGGGCAGGUGGGCUGGCAGGCCUGGGAUGGUCAUCCUCAUCAAAGGGGUUGGGUGCUGCACUGUCUGAGUCAGUGAAGGGAUUCCCUACCCCCAGCUCUGCCACCUCCUCUUCCUCAGCAUCUUCCUCAAAAGGAUUGUAUUCUCUGGUGACAGCAGCUGAAGGGCCCGGGAAAGCCUCUGCAGCAGCAGGGCUGGCAGCACCCUCUGUAGGGCUGGCAAGAUCUUCAUCAAACGGGUUGAGAGAGGUCUUAUCACUCUGUUGGGAUUCGGUGCUCUGGAGGAGUAGUUCCUGACCAAGGGCUGGGGGUCCAGACCACAAGUGAACGGGUGCUCGAGCUGAGCCAGGUGAGAGGGUGUCUGGAGCAGCGCUGCCAAGAACUGGGGAGGAAUCCGGAUCCAAGGCAUAGGCCAGAUCGCUGUGAGGCCCGCGGCUGGGCUCCAACUGAAAGGGUAUGACUUCGCGGAGGUCCAGCGCACGAGUCCGUGUGUGCAGGGAUGCCGCCAGGAACUGCUCCUGUUCUCGCUCCAGCUCCCGUCUCCGAAGCAUCUGCAGCUGCUCCCGCUGCAGCUCCUCCUCCUCAGCCUGCCUCCGGGACAGCUCAAUGGCCUUCUCCGUCUGCUGCUGGUCAUACUCAUCCUGCAGCUGCCGCAGGUUCUCCUGCAGUGUGCGCACCUCAUCCGUGCGGCCUGCGGCUUUGGCCUGCCUGAUGAAGGACGUAAUGUUGUAGAUCUGCUGGAGGAGAGGGUCAGGGUCUUCACUCUGUCCCUGACCUUCUGACAGGGGGAGCCAGCCCUCAGCUUUUCGCAAGGGGACAGGGAUGCCUCGGAGAGACCUCACUUCCCCAUUGGCUGCAGGAGAUGCCAAACCACUCUGCCUUUCCUCCAGCUUCCGCCGGGACUCCAGAGCAGCCUGCAGAGACAGCACACACCACCAGCGUCACCAUGGUCACCAAGCCAGCAGUCCUCCCUGUCUGCCACCCUCCAUGGGUGGCAUGGUCCCCACAACACUAGGAUAAUUCGACUGCUGAAACAAGGUAGUCAUAGAAGGACAGGCUUAGAUUUCCAAAAAUAAAACAUAAGUUGAGAA
This is a long non-coding RNA of Peromyscus eremicus (cactus mouse), 2710 nucleotides long. RefSeq lists it as uncharacterized. Lineage: Eukaryota; Metazoa; Chordata; Mammalia; Rodentia; Cricetidae. The record is from RefSeq and is a predicted model, not a curated record. The transcript is spliced from 3 exons.